CAGUCCUUCAGGUGACAGGCCCUAUAACACGGCUAUUACAGACGAACCCCCUGAACCACAAAAUGUUAGAUCCGUUUAUCUAGAACGUGUAUAUCAGCAACAGCGUGACUUAGCAAAUUUUAAUAGUACCAUGUACACGGAACACUUC
Bufo bufo (common toad) is the source of this 148-nucleotide long non-coding RNA. RefSeq lists it as uncharacterized. NCBI's taxonomy places the organism in Eukaryota, Metazoa, Chordata, Amphibia, Anura, Bufonidae. The record is from RefSeq and is a predicted model, not a curated record. The transcript has 3 exons.